RNAcentral lists this ribosomal RNA (460 nucleotides) under uncultured bacterium. RNAcentral's name for it is "partial 16S ribosomal RNA". It matches the Rfam family "Bacterial small subunit ribosomal RNA", at positions 28 to 507 of the family's 1533-position model. The record is from RNAcentral.
GACGAACGCUGGCGGCGUGCUUAACACAUGCAAGUCGAGCGGUAAGGCCUCUUCGGGUGUACACGAGCGGCGCACGGGGGCGUAACACGUGGGUGACCUUCCCUCAGCUCUGGGAUAAGCCUGAGAAACUGGGUCUACUACCGGAUAUGACCUUUCCUCGCAUGGGGUUUGGUGGAAAGUUUUUUCGGCUUGGGGUGGGCCCGCGGCCUAUCAGCUUGUUGGUGGGGUGAUGGCCUACCAAGGCGACGACGGGUAGCCGGCGUGCGAGGGCGAGCGGCCAAAUCGUGAGGGAGGCAGCGGUCGGGAACCUUGGGGAGGGAGCGGUGGGGUAUACUGGGCAAUGGGCGGGAGUGAAAAGGGGCGUCGCCGCGUGGAGCACUACGGCCGUGGGGGAGUAGAACUCUGUCGACCCCGAGGAAUUUUGACGGUAGGGGUAGAAGAAGCACCGGCCAACUACGUG